RNAcentral lists this ribosomal RNA (1061 nucleotides) under Micrococcus sp. Its description in RNAcentral is "bacterial SSU rRNA". It matches the Rfam family "Bacterial small subunit ribosomal RNA", at positions 185 to 1258 of the family's 1533-position model. The record is from RNAcentral. Lineage: Bacteria; Bacillati; Actinomycetota; Actinomycetes; Micrococcales; Micrococcaceae.
ACCGCAUGGUGGGUGUUGGAAAGAUUUAUCGGUUUUGGAUGGACUCGCGGCCUAUCAGCUUGUUGGUGAGGUAAUGGCUCACCAAGGCGACGACGGGUAGCCGGCCUGAGAGGGUGACCGGCCACACUGGGACUGAGACACGGCCCAGACUCCUACGGGAGGCAGCAGUGGGGAAUAUUGCACAAUGGGCGMAAGCCUGAUGCAGCGACGCCGCGUGAGGGAUGACGGCCUUCGGGUUGUAAACCUCUUUCAGUAGGGAAGAAGCGAAAGUGACGGUACCUGCAGAAGAAGCACCGGCUAACUACGUGCCAGCAGCCGCGGUAAUACGUAGGGUGCGAGCGUUAUCCGGAAUUAUUGGGCGUAAAGAGCUCGUAGGCGGUUUGUCGCGUCUGUCGUGAAAGUCCGGGGCUUAACCCCGGAUCUGCGGUGGGUACGGGCAGACUAGAGUGCAGUAGGGGAGACUGGAAUUCCUGGUGUAGCGGUGGAAUGCGCAGAUAUCAGGAGGAACACCGAUGGCGAAGGCAGGUCUCUGGGCUGUAACUGACGCUGAGGAGCGAAAGCAUGGGGAGCGAACAGGAUUAGAUACCCUGGUAGUCCAUGCCGUAAACGUUGGGCACUAGGUGUGGGGACCAUUCCACGGUUUCCGCGCCGCAGCUAACGCAUUAAGUGCCCCGCCUGGGGAGUACGGCCGCAAGGCUAAAACUCAAAGGAAUUGACGGGGGCCCGCACAAGCGGCGGAGCAUGCGGAUUAAUUCGAUGCAACGCGAAGAACCUUACCAAGGCUUGACAUGUUCUCGAUCGCCGUAGAGAUACGGUUUCCCCUUUGGGGCGGGUUCACAGGUGGUGCAUGGUUGUCGUCAGCUCGUGUCGUGAGAUGUUGGGUUAAGUCCCGCAACGAGCGCAACCCUCGUUCCAUGUUGCCAGCACGUAAUGGUGGGGACUCAUGGGAGACUGCCGGGGUCAACUCGGAGGAAGGUGAGGACGACGUCAAAUCAUCAUGCCCCUUAUGUCUUGGGCUUCACGCAUGCUACAAUGGCCGGUACAAUGGGUUGCGAUACUGU